RNAcentral lists this ribosomal RNA (497 nucleotides) under uncultured bacterium. Its description in RNAcentral is "partial 16S ribosomal RNA". It matches the Rfam family "Bacterial small subunit ribosomal RNA", at positions 28 to 507 of the family's 1533-position model. The record is from RNAcentral.
GAUGAACGCUGGCGGCGUGCCUAAUACAUGCAAGUCGACCGAACGGACGAGAAGCUUGCUUCUCUGAUGUUAGCGGCGGACGGGUGAGUAACACGUGGAUAACCUACCUAUAAGACUGGGAUAACUUCGGGAAACCGGAGCUAAUACCGGAUAAUAUUUUGAACCGCAUGGUUCAAAAGUGAAAGACGGUCUUGCUGUCACUUAUAGAUGGAUCCGCGCUGCAUUAGCUAGUUGGUAAGGUAACGGCUUACCAAGGCAACGAUGCAUAGCCGACCUGAGAGGGGGAUCGGCCACACUGGAACUGAGCCACGGUCCAGGCUCCUACGGGAGGCAGCAGUAGGGAAUCUUCCGCAAUGGGCGAAAGCCUGACGGAGCAACGCCGCGUGAGUGAUGAAGGUCUUCGGAUCGUAAAACUCUGUUAUUAGGGAAGAACAUAUGUGUAAGUAACUGUGCACAUCUUGACGGUACCUAAUCAGAAAGCCACGGCUAACUACGUG